CAGUCGCCACGGUAACACGAAGGGGGCUAGCGUUGUUCGGAUUUACUGGGCGUAAAGGGCGCGUAGGCGGGCGAAUAAGUCAGGGGUGAGAUCCCAAGGCUCAACCUUGGAACUGCCUUUGAUACUGUUUGUCUUGAGUUCGAGAGAGGUAAGUGGAACUGCGAGUGUAGAGGUGAAAUUCGUAGAUAUUCGCAAGAACACCAGUGGCGAAGGCGGCUUACUGGCUCGAAACUGACGCAGAGGCGCGAAAGCGUGGGGAGCAAACAGGAUUAGAUACCCCCGUAGUCCCUGUCUCUUAUAC
Molecule: ribosomal RNA, 301 nt
Filed under: uncultured bacterium
Lineage: Bacteria
Description: partial 16S ribosomal RNA
Rfam family: Bacterial small subunit ribosomal RNA
Source: RNAcentral